RNAcentral lists this ribosomal RNA (856 nucleotides) under Paratetraonchoides inermis. Its description in RNAcentral is "partial large subunit ribosomal RNA". It matches the Rfam family "Eukaryotic large subunit ribosomal RNA", at positions 85 to 634 of the family's 3401-position model. The record is from RNAcentral. Lineage: Eukaryota; Metazoa; Platyhelminthes; Monogenea; Dactylogyridea; Tetraonchoididae.
AACGGCGAGUGAACGGAGAUUAGCCCAGCACCGAAGCCCACUGCUAUUUGGCAGUAAGGCAAUGUGGUGUUCAGACAGUUACCUGAGGUUGCUGAGUUGCCCGAAGUCCAUCUUUGAAUGUGGCUUUAAUUUGAACCAGAGCGGGUGGAAGUCCCGUGCGGGUGACUCGUCAGAAAAGUUAGUGGCCUUCAGAUGUGACUGUCUUGGAGUCGGAUUGCUUGAGAAUGCAGUCUAAAGUGGGUGGUAAACUCCAUCCAAGGCUAAAUACCUGCACGAGUCCGAUAGCAAACAAGUACCGUGAGGGAAAGUUGAAAAGUACUCUGAAGAGAGAGUAAAUAGUACGUGAAACCACUCGUAUGGAACCAGGUGGAGUCCAGCUGCGUAUUGCUUGGAUUAAGCCGGUGUGAUUAUUGUUUUUGUGCGCAUCUUGUGCGGUUGGCUUGGAAAGAGCUGGUCGGAUUUCAUCCGAUUCAUGUUCCGACUGGGUUGUUGGUAUGUUGCCGUGCAAGUAUAAAAUGCGUUCACGCCGGUGUAUUUCCUUGUGAUUGGCAUCACGAUCGAUAAGACUGUCGGUGGACGAUGGUUAAACCAGGUGAGACUGGCUUUCAAGUUGGUCACGCUUGGGAUGGCAGGUCACUGGUCUGGAAUCUUGUGGUUCUAGUGCUGGUGUAAAAAGGCUUCGGCCGGCCGAUCAUUGUUUUACGCUUUCUAUCGUGCAGUAUAUCGUUCAUAGUUAGCUGGCCUCGUUGUGUUUGCUUGCAAGUGACGAGUCGCUUCAUGUAUCGUGUAAAAGCGCGUAUGUGUUGUGAGUUGUGGCUGUUUGCUUGGCAAUGGGGUUGGUACAAGUGAAUCGUGG